UACGUAGGGUGCAAGCGUUGUCCGGAAUUAUUGGGCGUAAAGAGCUCGUAGGCGGUUUGUCGCGUCUGCUGUGAAAACCCGAGGCCCAACCUCGGGCCUGCAGUGGGUACGGGCAGACUAGAGUGCGGUAGGGGAGAUUGGAAUUCCUGGUGUAGCGGUGGAAUGCGCAGAUAUCAGGAGGAACACCAAUGGCGAAGGCAGAUCUCUGGGCCGUAACUGACGCUGAGGAGCGAAAGCAUGGGGAGCGAACAGG
This 253-nucleotide ribosomal RNA is filed under the name uncultured bacterium. RNAcentral's name for it is "partial 16S ribosomal RNA". It matches the Rfam family "Bacterial small subunit ribosomal RNA", at positions 524 to 776 of the family's 1533-position model. The record is from RNAcentral.